Molecule: non-coding RNA, 242 nt
Organism: Paramuricea clavata
Lineage: Eukaryota; Metazoa; Cnidaria; Anthozoa; Malacalcyonacea; Plexauridae
Source: the annotation of a GenBank genome assembly
CGAAGUCGAGGUUUUUAUUCACGAUAAUCACCGAGCCUGAGGUGAAUAAUUGUUUUAGUAUAAUUUCAUAGGUGAUUAUUUGGAAAAAAAUUUAAAAAUGCACAUUUCUUCGUCAUUUAAUUGACAAAACGGCUUCGGCCGCCAUUUUGAAAAUCGCUUAGAUGAUUAUCGUGUAAUAAUCACCUCAACGGCAACCAAUCAGCGUGGAGAAUUUUCAAUAAUCACCUAUGUAAUUAUACUAA